GUUUUUUAUUUCUGACAAUUAUCUGUCAAAAAUGAAAAUUUUCCCGUAAAUGAUACACGCCCCGGAUCGAUCAGGACCCUACCAUGAAACAUAUCAAAGAAGCAUGAUUAAACAAUAAAAAUGCCUAAAUCCAAAUCCAGAGAAGUUAAAAUUGUCCACUCAGAUAAACGUAUAGCUAAACUAGAUGACGAAUCAUUAAGAAAUUUAACAGACUCUGAUGGGCCCUGCAAUGAAUGCAUCUGCAAUUUAAUAGACCCUCCGAAACCACCUUUUGACUUACGAAAUGCUAUACGAAGUGCCAUCGACACAUUACAAAUGUACACAGACUCAACUGCAAAGGCCCUAGGGAUUACCUCAUCUACUAAUCUAGCAGGGCCCAGUGAAAAGGGCAAGGAAAAAGAAAAAGCUAAAGGAGGGAAAAAGAAAUAAUCUUCAUCACGAUGACGUUGGAACAAUUGAAACAACUAGAAACUAAAUCUUUAAAGGGCCUCAAAGAGAACGUUUCGGGGCCCUGCGAUGAAUGCAUUUGUGCUAUAUUAACCACUCCAGCGGAUGUUUUGACACGUGGGAAUUGUUUCAAAAGAUUUUUCUCGUGCUUUAUAAAAACUAAGAAAGCGAAAAGUAUGAAAUCCAUAAAUAGUGGAGUUAAAAAGAAAAAACCGGUGAAGAGUAAACGAUAUACAUCGAAACCGGUUAAAAAAACGAAAGGUAAUCGAUUUAAAAUAACAAGAUGUUGAUUUGACUAAUAAAAUAUGAUUAUUCA
This is an RNA transcript of Papilio xuthus (Asian swallowtail), 763 nucleotides long. RefSeq lists it as uncharacterized. The record is from RefSeq and is a predicted model, not a curated record. The transcript is spliced from 3 exons. NCBI's taxonomy places the organism in Eukaryota, Metazoa, Arthropoda, Insecta, Lepidoptera, Papilionidae.